CCCUCAAGCUUUGCUUGGUGUUGGGUGAAUGUUCUCUGUGCUUGCGCAGACUGGACUCGCCUGAAAACAAUUGGCAGCCGGCAUAUUGGCCUGGAGCGCAGCACAUUUUGCGCCUCUUGCUAUGAUUGUUGGCAUCCAUCAAGAUAUUUUAUUAACUC
RNAcentral lists this unclassified non-coding RNA (158 nucleotides) under Plenodomus wasabiae. The record is from RNAcentral. Lineage: Eukaryota; Fungi; Ascomycota; Dothideomycetes; Pleosporales; Leptosphaeriaceae.